AACGAACGCUGGCGGCAGGCCUAACACAUGCAAGUCGAACGCCGUAGCAAUACGGAGUGGCAGACGGGUGAGUAACGCGUGGGAACAUACCCUCCGGUUCGGAAUAACUCAGGGAAACUUGAGCUAAUACCGGAUACGUCCAAGGUUUUAAUCGGCCUUGGAGAAAGAUUUAUCGCUGGAGGAUUGGCCCGCGUCUGAUUAGCUUGUUGGUGAGGUAAUGGCUCACCAAGGCGACGANCAGUAGCUGGUCUGAGAGGAUGAUCAGCCACAUUGGGACUGAGACACGGCCCAAACUCCUACGGGAGGCAGCAGUGGGGAAUAUUGGACAAUGGGCGAAAGCCUGAUCCAGCCAUGCCGCGUGAGUGAUGAAGGCCUUAGGGUUGUGAAGCUCUUUUACCCGGGAAGAUAAUGACGGUACCGGGAGAAUAAGCCCCGGCUAACUUCGUGCCAGCCGCCGCCGUAAG
Molecule: ribosomal RNA, 464 nt
Filed under: uncultured bacterium
Lineage: Bacteria
Description: bacterial SSU rRNA
Rfam family: Bacterial small subunit ribosomal RNA
Source: RNAcentral